This is a long non-coding RNA of Felis catus (domestic cat), 4042 nucleotides long. RefSeq lists it as uncharacterized. Lineage: Eukaryota; Metazoa; Chordata; Mammalia; Carnivora; Felidae. The record is from RefSeq and is a predicted model, not a curated record. The transcript is spliced from 2 exons.
UGACGCGUCAUCCGGAGGGGUCGGUGUGGGGACCCCCCAAAGUGCCUUCUACGUUCAGUCCUCAUCGGCUGUUGUUGUUGUCGUCAUUUAUAUCAUUACCCAGUGUAAGAUAUCUCCACAUAUUGAAUGUCACAAUACAUAUUCUGAGGUCCGUACUUGAAAAACGUUUGUUAAAGUCCGUGCACCAAUGGAAUGUUGGAGAUCACAGUUACACGUGGAAACAGAAAGACCGGAGAGAAGCUUCAUCUCAGUGUCUACAUUCUGUUGGAAAUCCUACUUUUCCUCCAAGGUUUCUGUGAUGCCUGACGUCACCCUGCAGAUGGGCUUUGCCCCAGCCUCCCUCCCGGGGCUCCCGUCCUGGACUCACCACCGACCGCAUCUAUUGCUUUGGGCAAAUUGUCUCCGCUUGCUACACGAGUAUGAACCUGUUCUACGAUCGGGGCUAUUUUAAAUGGCUGUUGCAAGGAAAGCACUUUACGUAGUGCCCUGAAAGGCAACGGUUAACGGAGGAAAAGCACUUUACAGAACGCCCCAGUGUACGGUCAAUUCUCAGUAAAUGGUUUUGUUUUCGCCUUGUUAAGGCGAGAUCCUGCCUCCCACACGCAGAGAAGUGGCCUCAUCUUUGCCAGCGUCAGUGGAACCCUCUCUCGGCAAGGCUCUGACUCUGGACUGUGUGCCCGAGACCGCACCUCCAGCACUAGCAAGAAGGUAGAACAGCGGCCGAACGACGUUCACCAAGCAGGGACCGAGCGCCGCGCUGGGUGGUUUUGCAAGUAACAGCUCACUCACUUCCUACAGCAGCGGCGCCAGCCCAGGAGGAGGUACUGUUCUCCCAUCUUGUGGAUGAGGACACUGAGGCAACCUCUUCCCGGACACUUGUCCAACUUACGGAGCUGCAAGGCGCGGGCCGUGAGUCCGAGCCCAUGAGUCUUCAGCGAUUCUAACCGCUACGCCCUCUGACGGUUACCCUGCCUCCAAAUGCACAAGUAGAUGACCUUUCUUUCCUCGGCUCAAAGAAAGAACAACUCUCCAGGGCUGGCACCAGGAGGGACGCAGGCGAUCAGCGAGCCGGACUGCUCGCGAGCCUGGGAGGGGAGUGAAGCCCGGGAACCAGCCACUUGCACACGUCCCUACAGCUAAGUGAGUAUUAGCUUCGCAGCUGCAACCUAGGUCUGUCUAGUGUCAAUCCUGCACCCUCUGCCUCCGUCUCUCGCACCCCACAACGACACGACCCAUCGUCUCCCGUGCAUUAUUAAUUUCCUAUGCGGUUACGUUGUUUCUUAAUACCCAUGUCUCCCCAGUCAACCGUAGCCUUUCCAUAUGGAGUUUCAGAUCCUAUAAAUUAAAUGAGAACAGCAUGUUACACAGGAAUGAAGGAAUGGUUGUUGGAUUUUUUUAUUUUUUUUUGAGAUUACAGUGACUUCGACCCGUAGGUAUUUAUGGAAAAAACACUAGGAUAUUUACAAAUGUGUUAACGCUGGAACUGUAUUUUAAUUGGUUUCAUGAAAGAAAAGGACUUGGAAGCCCUGGGAUUAAUAUAAUUACUUUGCUAGAAACGAUGAAUUCUUGGCUGGCGUCUUCUGCAAGGGACCGGGUCUGUGAGCCCCUGCGAGGCUGGAGCCCUGGCGGAGAGAAGCCCGGGGCGGCAGAACCCUGGUGUGGCAGGGGGAGCAUCUGAGAGAGACGCCAGGGCUCUGCGCUUGGGGACGAGACAGUUAAAGCCUCCCCGUGCGAGCCAGUUCUAUCACACGGCGCUGGCGACAGGUCAACAGUCUGGCUGGAGCGCGGAAGGGGCUGAUGAUGCCAGGCGGUGCCAGGGACCCCGGGGAGCCCUAAAGAGGCUCCCCACGCCGGCUUUCCUUCUGCAGCCCGGGGAUGUUCCGGCAACUGCCUCAUGCAAGGAAACUGGGGCUGUGUCGCUGCUUUCCGGGCGAGCCACGCUGGAGCACUGACGUCCCCGGGCCGAGAGCCCACUGUGGCUGUGACAAAGGGACCCCGGCUGAGAGCCUGCGCAGGUUGACUGUCAAUGGGGUUUCUACGAGUUGCUUACACGGUGUGAGCAGAGCCGCUAGCAAUGAGAAGGCACAGAGGAGCCAGCACGCGCUCAGGAGAGCAGCCGGGCCCUUGAGCGGCCAGACCUCGGAUGUCAUUCAGGGAGCAACGUUCUACGUGCUCUGUGCUUCUUUGUUGGUCCAUUUGUUUGUUUUUUUCUGGUACCUUCUGUGGCGGAGUAAUGCAGGGGCAUUUGCAGAAACGGAAACCCUCACAUCUUUCCCGACGAGUUCAUUGUCUUUACCGAACCCUCAACUUUAAAGCCAUCUGGUUUGUAGAUUCAUCAACAGUGAUCAGCAGUUACACAGAUCCUCUAAGCAAUCAUGAAUAUGGUUUUUAAUUUAUUAAGUUCCUUCUAUAGGACAACCACUGAGCUAAAUACUUUGACUUACUUACCGUAUUAAAACCCUCAAAAUAACUCUACGUAUUAGGCACGCUUAGGAUCCCCGUGUUUGUUAACAAACUCAAAGAAAGGUCUGGUGACUCGCAGGUCAGUCAUGGAGCUGACUGUAAACCAUGCCUGCACGUCUCCAGCCCUGGACCUUGGCUGCUGCACGAUGUUGGGGAUUUCAGGCCUGGAAGGGCCCCCAGAUGCCAACCCCUCUGGCUUCUUCCUUGGAUGGGUGGGGGCAGCCUGGCGCACGUGGCUCGCUGAAGACAAACCAGAAGCCAGAUUGCCCGUGGCUCAGUCCAGUGCCGUCCUAACCACAACAUGUCGCCGAAGGGAAACGACGCAGGGUACGUUCCGCCUGUUCUCUGUUCUCAAUACGGGAUGGUUUCCCGGCGCAGUCUGCCAUGUUGGCGUGUCUGCGUGUAGGCCAUUGAUUGGAAAUGACAUUCCAUUGAAAACGCCUCUGAGGACCAUACAUGGAUCUCCAGCAGGGAAGGGUUAAAGUUGCAGGGAUUUUGCAGGCUGGAUCAAAUGUUCUUGAGAGGCCAUUCUUCACAUCUUGUUUCUUUAGCACCGGGAGAAGGCGAGUAAUCAAAGGUGACAAGCUUUCUCUGCUCGUCGGGUCCCAUUCCCGGCGCAGGGCAGCCCACAGGCACAUUGAUCUGCAGCGGCAGCUGCUACUGGCCUCCGAUGCAGAGAUUCCAGGCCACACGGGGCCUCGUCGUGUUAUUGGAAGGAAGGGAGGAAGGAGUGAAGGCACCACUAUCCUCAAAUUGAGACAAAACCUAUUGUCUGCAACCAUGGGAUUCGGUCACCUUGAGUACAUAUGCAGUGUGAUUUAGCUGCUAUCUCUGCUCAGGGCUCGGAGGUGGAAGGCAAGUGCACUGGACGGUUGCUGGCCUACUUGGAUGUAUUGGUCUGUAGUCUGAAGGGGCUAGGAGGGGCCGGAGGCGCUCCUCUUGGAACAGACACAGAGCAGUACGAGAGCUGCGUUACAAAGGUCUCUGUCUGGAAGCGGAGGAAGACACCACAGAAUAACGAAUGCCCUUCUCUGCCAUUUUCUCAUGGAUUCUUUUUUUUUUUAAGUAUAAUUUAUUGUCAAGUUAGCUAACUGACAGUGUAUACAGUGUGCUCUGGGUUUGGGGGGGUAGAUUCCGUGAUUCAUCGCUUACAUACAACACCCGGGGCUCAGCCCAACGAAGCUACCUUCUGGAAUAGAAGGGGACGGUGGGAAAGGGGGAGAAAAAGAAUCCAUCGACACGUAUGCAUCUGCUGUCUGCGAGGCCCUUCACGAUAACGAUAACCUUAUUAUUGUUAACUACUUUCUAACCGCCUUGCAUGCGAGAAGAUGUUUAUCGCUAUUUAAAUAAGGAAGGAAUGAAUUUGGGAGAGGCGAACCAACUUGCCCAAAUCCUAUGCCACAUCUGCAGAAAGAACUGGAAGGAAGGUGUGAUGAGGUUGAGGAUAAGGACAGUCAAGGCCGUUCGUUUCCUUUUGGGAUAUGUCAUAUUCCUUGAGACGUCCUGCAGAGUGGCUUUGAGUAAGGCUGGGUUCUCAUAUUUUGAGUAUGAUUUGUAAAUCUAAGCCUUUUGCUCCCCA